GCACAAGCGGUGGAGCAUGUGGUUAAUUCGAUGAUACGCGAGGAACCUUACCUGGGCUCAAAUGUAUGUUGACGUAUUCUGAAAGGGAUACUUCUUCGGACAAUAUACAAGGUGCUGCAUGGUUGUCGUCAGCUCGUGCCGUGAGGUGUCGGGUUAAGUCCCAUAACGAGCGCAACCCCUAUCAUUAGUUGCCAUCAGGUCAAGCUGGGGACUCUAAUGAAACUGCCUACGCAAGUAGUGAGGAAGGUGGGGAUGACGUCAAGUCAUCAUGGCCCUUACGGCCUGGGCUACACACGUGCUACAAUGGUCGGUACAAAGGGUUGCCAAGCCGCGAGGUGGAGCUAAUCCCAUAAAACCGAUCGUAGUCCGGAUCGCAGUCUGCAACUCGACUGCGUGAAGUCGGAAUCGCUAGUAAUCGUGAAUCAGAAUGUCACGGUGAAUACGUUCCCGGGCCUU
RNAcentral lists this ribosomal RNA (456 nucleotides) under uncultured Sphingobacteriales bacterium. RNAcentral's name for it is "bacterial SSU rRNA". It matches the Rfam family "Bacterial small subunit ribosomal RNA", at positions 923 to 1382 of the family's 1533-position model. Lineage: Bacteria; Pseudomonadati; Bacteroidota; Sphingobacteriia; Sphingobacteriales. The record is from RNAcentral.